This 1301-nucleotide long non-coding RNA is filed under the name Rattus norvegicus (Norway rat). RNAcentral describes it as "long non-coding RNA NONRATT019094". The record is from RNAcentral. Lineage: Eukaryota; Metazoa; Chordata; Mammalia; Rodentia; Muridae.
UGUCACAUAAGAGCCAUUUAUUUACAUAUUCAGAGGAAUGGCCCCAGUGGGCCAGCCUCUGACAGGGACUCCUGCUGAGCUGGGAUGAGUGGGGAGACUUGAUUGCAGGGGGGUAGAUAGCCUGUGGGAGUUCCACCCACAGCAGAGCCCAAGUGGCCGGAGCCUGCAGCCUUAAGAGUAGUUGGUGUUGGAGAUCUCCCUCCAGAGUAAGGUCUUAAGGUGGCUAAGCACCAGAGAAUGGUGAGCCUCAACCUGGCUGGCCAGUCCACUCAGUGUGGUGCAUGUGCGAAGCUGUUUGCCCAGCUCCUCAUAAAGGUCCGCAGGGGCUCCGGGCAGCAGAUAGUCCCUCAGCAGCUCGCACACCUUGGCCAAGUUGGGCUGGAUGAGGUCACCCUUGCACUGCCUCAUGAGCUUGUCACAUGGCGCCCUGCAGUCUCGCCCAUAGAUGCAGUCAGAGCUCUGCUCACAGUGGCGGCCCUGAAGGAAGCGACGCACAGUGGCCUCUGGGGCCACCUGCUGCAGGUCAGCCAUCUUGAAGUCGUAGGUGGCUGUGUACCCCACAUUGGCAAGUGUAGUCUCACACAUGUAGAAGGUACCAUAGGAACCAUGGAAGAGCUCCUCUACAAAUUCCAACAGGCCAAUGGCGAUCUUUGCACGCCAUGGCCAUGCAGGUCCAAACCACUGCUGGAGAGCCCUGUGCAGCACAGAUGGUAGAAGGGGGCGCAAGGCAGGCAGCAACACUGCCCCGUGCCAGGAGCCGUGAGGGAUGCUCUCGGUAAGGUAGAGGUCCCCGCAGUAGCCCAGCAGCCGGGAAGCAUGCUCCUUCUCCUGAAGGGACAACAGCAGCAGGAACUCAUUGCGCUGCAGCAGGGCCCACACAGACUUGGCUUCCGCCAGGGAUACCCUGCUGUCCUUGUUGAAGUCCGCCAUAAGAAGUAUCUGGUCAACCAGCGCUGGCAGGGAGGGCAGGUCUCCUAAGUUAGCCUGCCAUUUGAGACCAAAAGGAAAGCAGAGAAGCAUACCUCAGCUGGAAGAGCACUCUGGUCUAGCCUGGUCUCUAGAAAAUCAAGGAGUGCUGCCUGUACCAUACACACCAGCUCUUCUCUGAGCUGUGCACACAGGCCACAGCACUAGCUUUGACCCUUGUUCCCAUCUCCUAGUCCCUACUUUAACUACACUGGAUGUGGAGUCCUCAAACUCCUGAGCCCUCACCAUGCUGCCAGUUUGUUCCCACAAGCCCUGGGACGAUGCUUCCCUGCCUGCCUCCUGCCCAGGUCUUUGUAGACAUCCCCUGCUGUGGA